RNAcentral lists this ribosomal RNA (492 nucleotides) under uncultured bacterium. RNAcentral describes it as "partial 16S ribosomal RNA". It matches the Rfam family "Bacterial small subunit ribosomal RNA", at positions 29 to 507 of the family's 1533-position model. The record is from RNAcentral.
AGUUAACGCUGGCGGUAGGCCUAACACAUGCAAGUCGAACGGCAGCACAGUAAGAGCUUGCUCUUACGGGUGGCGAGUGGCGGACGGGUGAGGAAUACAUCGGAAUCUACUUUUUCGUGGGGGAUAACGUAGGGAAACUUACGCUAAUACCGCAUACGACCUACGGGUGAAAGCAGAGGAUCUUCGGACCUUGCGCGAUUGAAUGAGCCGAUGUCGGAUUAGCUAGUUGGCGGGGUAAAGGCCCACCAAGGCGACGAUCCGUAGCUGGUCUGAGAGGAUGAUCAGCCACACUGGAACUGAGACACGGUCCAGACUCCUACGGGAGGCAGCAGUGGGGAAUAUUGGGCAAUGGGCGCAAGCCUGAUCCAGCCAUACCGCGUGGGUGAAGAAGGCCUUCGGGUUGUAAAGCCCUUUUGUUGGGAAAGAAAAGCAGCAGGUUAAUACCCCGCUGUUCUGACGGUACCCAAAGAAUAAGCACCGGCUAACUUCGUG